UGGAGGGGGGAGAGAGAGAGAGAGAGAGAGAGAGAGAGAGAGGAAGGAAGGAAGGAAGGAAGGAAGGAAGGAAGGAAGGAAGGAAGGAAGGAAGGAAGGAAGGAAGGAAGGAAGGAAGGAAGGAAGGAAGGAAGGAAGGAAGGAAGGAAGGAAGGAAGGAAGGAAGGAAGGAAGAUAUAGAGAAAAUAGAGGGAAGAAAAAAGGGAAAGAGGAAAGGAAGGAAGGAGAGAAGGAAAGAGAAAGCAGGAAGGAAAGAAAGGAAGGAAGGGACAAAUGAAUGAGCAAAAGAUUUAAGCGCCUAUUUUUUUUUUUCGAAGUACUGUGCUAAGCACUUCACAAAAAUUAUCUAAUUUGAUCCUCACAAAAACUGUAAGGGUAGGUGCUAUUAUGAUCCCAUUUUAGAGUUGAGGAAACUGAGUCAGAG
Long non-coding RNA from Monodelphis domestica (gray short-tailed opossum), 424 nucleotides. NCBI's taxonomy places the organism in Eukaryota, Metazoa, Chordata, Mammalia, Didelphimorphia, Didelphidae. The record is from Ensembl.